UGGGGAAUUUUGCACAAUGGGGGAAACCCUGAUGCAGCGACGCCGCGUGAUUUAGAAGGCCUUCGGGUUGUAAAAAUCUUUUUUAUGGGAUGAAAAUGACAGUACCAUAAGAAUAAGGUCCGGCUAAAUACGUGCCAGCAGCCGCGGUAAUACGUAUGGACCGAGCGUUGUCCGGAAUCAUUGGGCGUAAAGGGUACGUAGGCGGCCCAGUAAGUUAGAAGUGAAAUAAUAUAGCUCAACUAUAUAAAGCUUUUAAAACUGCUAGGCUUGAGAGAUGGAAGGGAAAGUGGAAUUCCUAGUGUAGCGGUGAAAUGCGCAGAUAUUAGGAAGAAUACCGGUGGCGAAGGCGACUGUCUGGUCAUCAUCUGACGCUGAGGUACGAAAGCGUGGGUAGCAAACAGG
RNAcentral lists this ribosomal RNA (402 nucleotides) under Verrucomicrobiota bacterium. RNAcentral describes it as "Verrucomicrobia bacterium partial 16S ribosomal RNA". It matches the Rfam family "Bacterial small subunit ribosomal RNA", at positions 355 to 776 of the family's 1533-position model. Lineage: Bacteria; Pseudomonadati; Verrucomicrobiota. The record is from RNAcentral.